AACAGAAAGGCAACUCUUCCUUUGAAUUAAGCCAGUCUCCAGAAGAGCAAGAGCAAGGAACACUUCUGUUUGCAGAAUCAGAGGCAAAUGCGGAAGGCCAUCAGAUGCUUACC
Non-coding RNA from Pantherophis guttatus, 113 nucleotides. The record is from RefSeq and is a predicted model, not a curated record. Lineage: Eukaryota; Metazoa; Chordata; Lepidosauria; Squamata; Colubridae.